Molecule: transfer RNA, 66 nt
Filed under: Cryptocephalus aureolus
Lineage: Eukaryota; Metazoa; Arthropoda; Insecta; Coleoptera; Chrysomelidae
Description: tRNA-Thr
Source: RNAcentral
ACUUUAAUAAUUUAAAAAAAAAUAGUGGUCUUGUAAACCAUCAAUAAGCGUCCAGCUUUUAAAGUA